GCAUAUCAAUAAGCGGAGGAAAAGAAACCAACAGGGAUUGCCUCAGUAACGGCGAGUGAAGCGGCAACAGCUCAAAUUUGAAAUCUGGCCUCGGCCCGAGUUGUAAUUUGUAGAGGAAGCUUUUGGUGCGGCACCGACCGAGUCCCCUGGAACGGGGCGCCAUAGAGGGUGAGAGCCCCGUAUGGUUGGACGCCUAUCCUCUGUAAAGCUCCUUCGACGAGUCGAGUAGUUUGGGAAUGCUGCUCAAAAUGGGAGGUAAAUUUCUUCUAAAGCUAAAUAUUGGCCAGAGACCGAUAGCGCACAAGUAGAGUGAUCGAAAGAUGAAAAGCACUUUGAAAAGAGGGUUAAAUAGCACGUGAAAUUGUUGAAAGGGAAGCGCUUGUGACCAGACUUGCGCCUCGUCGAUCAUCCGGGGUUCUCCCCGGUGCACUCGGCGGGGCUCAGGCCAGCAUCGGUUUUCGUGGGGGGACAAAGGCACCGGGAACGUAGCUCCUCCGGGAGUGUUAUAGCCCGGGGCGUAAUGCCCUCGCGGGGACCGAGGACCGCGCUUCGGCAAGGAUG
This 561-nucleotide ribosomal RNA is filed under the name Triangularia setosa. RNAcentral's name for it is "Podospora setosa partial 28S ribosomal RNA". It matches the Rfam family "Eukaryotic large subunit ribosomal RNA", at positions 38 to 625 of the family's 3401-position model. The record is from RNAcentral. Lineage: Eukaryota; Fungi; Ascomycota; Sordariomycetes; Sordariales; Podosporaceae.